This 1433-nucleotide long non-coding RNA is filed under the name Nicotiana benthamiana. RNAcentral describes it as "long non-coding RNA (NBEN_LNC023318)". The record is from RNAcentral. Lineage: Eukaryota; Viridiplantae; Streptophyta; Magnoliopsida; Solanales; Solanaceae.
AUUCCAAUCCCAAAAUCAAGAGUCAGAUGUCUUCCCUCAUGAAGGGUAAAACCAUCAGAGAAGAUAAAAAGCAGAAUUCUAUCAUUUAAGGCAGUUAACAACUUUCACAUUCAACAAGUAAAAGCAGAAAAGAAAAGUUAGCCCGGUGCACAAAGCAUUCCGCAUUCACGAAGGGUCGAGGAACCCCAAGAGGGUGUGAAGUAGGCAAUCUACCAUGAUGAAACCAGUUAGUCACUGAUUCCACUGCUCGACCUGUGGCCUAUAGGCUAUUUUGCUCGGCCUCUCCAAAAUCAUCUUGGAUGGAUGUCGGUCCUCCAAAGUAUUGCAUUUUUCGAGAACCCGAUACAGGUGUGCCGGCAAUUUGGAGAGUUCGCGCAACAUAGGAUAACUUUACCUCCCCUCCAUGUUGAACAAGUAAAUAGAAGAUAUUUCUUUCCGAAACCAUGCAAAUAUAACAGAGAAGUUGUUCAAAUAAAAACUAAUUAAAAUAUCAGUCAUCAUUAUAAACCCUAUAUCAUUUUCUAGAACAAAAGCCAGACAUCUUCAGGGCAAACCUUUUUUGAGAAGAAAAAGUAGACAACUCUUAAUUAGAAUAAUCAAGAACUUCACCCCAAGACAAGAGGGGUUGCACUGAUGGUAAGCAACCCCACUUCCAACCGAGAGGUUGUGAGUUCGAAUCUCCCCAAGAUAAGGUGGAAUUUUUUGGAGGGAAGGAUGCCGGGGUCUAUUUGGAAACAGCCUCUCUACCCAAGGGUAGGGGUAAGGUCUGCGUACACACUACCCUCCCCAGACCCCACUAAGUGGGAUUAUAUUCUUCAAUGCAGUUUUGGAAACAGCCUCUCUACCCAAGGGUAGGGGUAAGGUCUGCGUACACACUACCCUACCCCACUAAGUGAGAUUAUACUGGGUUGUUGUUGUAGAACUUCAUCCCAAACAAGUAAACUAAAUAAAAAUCCAGCAUUCCAGAAUCCAGUUUAUUAUGCACAGUAACUUGUAUCACCAAAUCGUUUCCUUGACAUUGAAAGAUGCUUAUACAACAAAGAUACAGCAAUUCUAGGAUCCUCUCAACACAUCUUGGCAAUGUGCAAAUGUAACAAGGACAAAUACAGCUCAACUCUUUUGAAAGUGUAACUAUAAACAACCAUAAACACAGACAUUUGUUAUCAAUAUUUACAACAAAACAGAAAGAAUUAAUAUAAUCAAAGAUCCACAAAUCGUUACUAAUCCCACACCACCCCCAAACCCAACCCCCCAAAAAAGAAGCUUGGAACCAUGCACAUCGAAUAGGAAAAGAUAUAGCUAAAUUUUUUAAGCAGUAAGAAAUUACCCAUGCUGACUUUCAUCAUCAAUCCAAGAAAAAAUAGAAAAGCAGAGAGAGGCACACAAUACAGAAAACGCAACUCAAAAUACUAACUAAUUCAAUUCAAUCAAAG